Molecule: ribosomal RNA, 482 nt
Filed under: uncultured bacterium
Lineage: Bacteria
Description: partial 16S ribosomal RNA
Rfam family: Bacterial small subunit ribosomal RNA
Source: RNAcentral
GAUGAACGCUAGCGGCAGGCCUAAUACAUGCAAGUCGGACGGGAUUCAGGAGCUUGCUUCUGAUGAGAGUGGCGCACGGGUGCGUAACACGUAUGUAACCUACCUUUACCAGGGGGAUAGCCUCUCGAAAGAGAGAUUAAGCCCGCAUAAAAUCACAGCACAGCAUUGUGUAUUGAUCAAAUAUUUAUAGGAUAAAGAUGGGCAUGCGGAACAUUAGCUAGAUGGCGGGGUAACGGCCCACCAUGGCGACGAUGUUUAGGGGAUCUGAGAGGAUGGCCCCCCACACUGGUACUGAGACACGGACCAGACUCCUACGGGAGGCAGCAGUAAGGAAUAUUGGUCAAUGGGCGGAAGCCUGAACCAGCCAUGCCGCGUGCAGGAAGACGGCCCUACGGGUUGUAAACUGCUUUUAUACGGGAAUAAACCCAGAUACGUGUAUCUGGCUGAAUGUACUGUAAGAAUAAGGAUCGGCUAACUCCGUG